UUGACGACUUUUAAAUAAACAGUUUAUGUAAUGUAUGUCGCGUAAGCGUGCCAUAUAACUUUAGAAGAUUUUGAAAAUAGCGCACGAGUCUAUUAGACUACUAUUCAUGUUUUGGAGGUGGUCACAGUACUCAUUCACUCUCAUUAUAUAAGAAAUUAACGUUAUAUAUCCUGACAAAUCCCCCUUUUGUACACCAUAUGGAAGAAAGAUAUGAUGGCGAAAACGAACAAGCAUUGAGCUCUAGAUGGCAAUAAAGAGCCAUGAAAAGGACUUGACCAUGCUUAUUGUGAGGAUAGAACAAUUUGCAAGAAAGUGCAGGAAUGGAGAUCAUUCAUGUGCUUCACCUGAGGUGUUGAUAAGGAAACAGACAGCAGUGAGAUCGCAAGGACAGAGGGAAGACGCUAGAAGUUAGUAACUGAUCCCUGAUGGCUUGUUAUGUUUAGCACCUUCAUGCCAAAAUUCUGUCCAAUGCAGAUGCUUUCCAAGGACAUUGAUGAGGUAAAAAAAAAAGACACUGCAGGCAUGACUCUGCAUUUCUGAAAACGGCGCUCACAUUUGUCUUUAUAAUCUUCAGCAUCUGAGAUAAUAAGGAGGCAGGAAUGGUGUUAAUUACCCUCCCAGCAAGAUACAGAACAGCAUGCCAUUAUCUCGAAUGGGAGACAGAGUUAGUCAGGAAAAUUUGCUGCAUACAUUAAGAAUAUUGCCUAAGCGUGUGGUAUAUGUUUGGUACAUUAGUUCCUGUAUGAAGAUAUUAAAGAUAUAUUUUUAUUAUGUGACAUUAUGAUAUUCUAGAGCUUAAAAUAGUAAAGUUUUAUAAGUUAAAUUUUGCUUAAGAUUAUUAAAAACGUGAAAUAUAAUAAUGUAAAAUCAGAUAUCAGCUGAUGUUAGAUAUUUUUCGGCAUUGUUUGAUAUUGGAUAUUUAAUGGUGCAUUUUUUUCUGGAUAUUUAUUACCUUUGCUGUCAUCUAAUGCUCAAAGUUAAUCUUUAAAACAAAA
Onychostoma macrolepis is the source of this 995-nucleotide long non-coding RNA. RefSeq lists it as uncharacterized. The transcript is spliced from 3 exons. NCBI's taxonomy places the organism in Eukaryota, Metazoa, Chordata, Actinopteri, Cypriniformes, Cyprinidae. The record is from RefSeq and is a predicted model, not a curated record.